CAAGAGUGAAUGAAUGUGUGCGUGUGCACACGUAUAGGGUGUGUUUGCUUUGUGAGAACAUUAUCAACUGGACUGGACUUGGAACUGGUCUACAAUACACCAAAAUGUGGCAAUGGAUGAGGAUUGUUCCUCACACUCCACCAGUAAGAUAUCACACCCAAGACAAAAAUAAAGAGUUGACGGAAGUCACAGACUGAUGUGUUAUAUCUGGGCUGACCAUAGUGUUAAACACCUCUCAGAGGCCACAUCAUCAUUGGGGUAUAUUUCAUGACCACUCGAAGGCCAUUGGUCAUACCAGGUUUCACUGCCUCCGAUCUUAGCCAACACGUUUCCUAUAUGCAACCUCCUGUGUCUACAGGCCUAUCAAAUAUAUUCAUCCUAAUUCAAACAAGAUUAAAAUGGACUCAGUUUUUAUAAAAUUAAUUUACAAUAGUUUUAAGCUAAAAUAAUUUGAGGUAAAGUAGCGAUAUGGGGCAGUAAGGAGUUGCUACAGUGCGAGACAUAACUCUACACGAACCUCUACCCUCCCUGCACUAAGUAAUCCAGUAGUGUAAAACCUGUACUGGCAUGAACAUUAGAACACCAUAGUGAUGUCACACACCAUCAACACCAUAUAUAAAACAACAUUUUGUAUCUUAUUUUUGCUAGGAUAAGUUAGGUUAGGUUGGGUUGGGCUAAGAUAAGUUUGGUUUGGUUAGAAUGGGUUAGAUUGGGUUUGGUUAGGUUUGUUUAUAGUGGCUUCAACGUACAAACAUACAUCAUACAUAGGGGGGGGUACAUACUUUC
Non-coding RNA from Procambarus clarkii (red swamp crayfish), 786 nucleotides. The record is from RefSeq and is a predicted model, not a curated record. Lineage: Eukaryota; Metazoa; Arthropoda; Malacostraca; Decapoda; Cambaridae.